GCAACUGUGGCUCAGAUCUCAUCCCUGGCCUGGGAAUGCCAUAUACUGCUGGGUGGUCAAAGAAGAAGAAGAAGAAAAAACAGGAGUGAUCCCUCUGCAUCCCCUGUGUUCAUUUAGGACGUGUCAGGCUGAACCCCAUUUCCUCUUUUGCUUGUGGUCUGAUGGUGCAAGGGGAAAGCAUAGAUCUGUAAUGCCAACAGUUUGGCUGUGGACUCUGGACAGUGCUGUGACUGGACCCUAUCUUGCCUUUUCUCUAACUGUUCCAUGUGGGUCUUACUUCUCUGGCAGGACUGCCAGCUAUGCUGGGGUGGAGGUAAUCUCUGGGACCUCCUUGUGACCCACUGUUCCUGCCACAGCCUUGGGCUAUGCAUACUGGAGAUGUGCUAUAGGUUUGUUGAAUUGGGUGUGGAUUUUCUGAAGAUCAAGGCCAGGGGUCCUAGCAAGAGCUGUGUAGUAUAAAGAAGGGUUAGUGCACUUGGAACCUGAAAUGGUGGGUUCAGAUCCCACCUGGUUCCCUUACCAGGCACCUGGGCAGCUCUUGUUGCCUCUCUGAGCUUUACUGUCCUUUUCUGACUAAUAGAGAUGUUAAAUGAUAUACACAGGGGUGUGAAAAUGAAAGGAGGUGGGUCAUAGGAAUAAAAAUGUGUUUUGAGCCCUUCUCUACCCAGUAUUCUGUGAUAAUCUGUGUGGGAAAAGAUUCUGAGAGAGAAUGGAUAUAUGUAUAUGUAUGACUGGGUCACUUUGUUGUACAGCAGAAAUUAUCACCACCUUGUAAAUUAACUAUACUUCAGUAAAACUUUAAAAAAUAUAUUUGAGCCCUUAACAGUGCCAGGCACUGUGCUAAGCACCCCUCCUCCCAUUCCUGCACUUAACCAGCACAACCCUAUGAGACAGAGUCUGUUGUUAUUUCUACUUUACAGACUAGAAAACUGGAUCUCAGAAAGGGAGUGAAGCUUGCAUCAUCGCUAAGAGCUAUGGACAGAGCUGAGAUUUAAAUCCAGAAGAGCCUGCUUGUAGAGGCGACUGGAAUGGUCUAGCACAGUGGUUCUCAAGCACUGGAAUCCCCUGGAGGGCUUGUUAAAACACAGAUCUCAGCAGGGCCCCUACACCAGAGUUUUCAACCCACUAGCUCUGGGAGAGGCCUGAAUAUCUGCAUUCCUAACAAGUUUCCAAGUGAUGUAAUGCCACUUGCAGGACUUGGUCUAGAAUGACUGCUGUAGGACCAUUUUCUAACCUUACUGUUCUAGAAAAAAUAGUAGGUACAGAGGAGAGGGCGGUUAAAAAAAAAAAAAAAAGACCACACCUUGAGUUGGUAGGCCAAGUAGUGUAGUCGCAUGAACGUGCCCACGAUGUCUCAGGUUUGCGUUCUGAUCUUGACUUCACGUGCGUGCGGAGUUAAUUGAGAAGCAUAGACCCAAGGGGAACUGCUUAAGCACCUGGUACUCUUCACUCUCCGAUGCCCGGGUCCAGACUUCUGCUCCCUGGGUCCGCCCUCGUGCUGCCAGGGCAUGCCUCUCCAUCCCUGCUCUCUCGAGGUCCAGUCCAGCCCGGCAAGCGUUGCCAUGGCAGCGCCACCGCCAGGGAUGUGGGAGGCAGAGCGCGCUCGCCCCUUUGUGCCUCUGGGGUGGAGGUGCACUCCCCCCACACCCGGCCGCGCUCCACCUCCCAGGCCCCGACCUCGGGCAGCUACAAAGACGACGACGCGCUCGGGGGACCAGAGGGAGGGAGGCUGCGGACGAGUGCGGGGAGGAGUUUGCGAUGGGAGGCGCUUGCAGGGGCUCCCCCAGUUCUGCACUGUGAGCCCGGGCACAAAGAGCCCUCUGCACUGGCGCCGCAGGACCGAGGACCAGGACCCGAGCUGGAGGUAUGUUCCCGCCUACCCAUGUCAUUCCAGACAUGUUCACCUGGCCGCCAUGACCCUAACGGCAUCAAAGGAGCAACCAAGAGUUCAGCAAGUUCCUGGGACAGAAGAGAAAGAAGGGAGUUUCUGGCAUCUUGGAGAUGCUCACCAUUGCACUGGAAAGGAGCCUUGCAGAUAAGUAUUCAAACUUACCAGCCCAUAGCCUACCAGCCUGCCCUCUGCUGGUCUGUGCAGGAAAGUACAAUAUCCCAGAAUUCUCAAGGGGAAGAGAAAUCCAUGCAGCAGCUCAUUCACUUUCCCACCUCUACGCCACAAACAAAGCUUGUCCCUGAUUUACGGGGCCCCCAGAAAUAAUUUUCCUACCCCUUUUGGCAUCAAGGUUAGUAUUCUAUAAACUCCACCAUCAGGAGCUUCUGAGCUGAGUUUAAUGACCUUACCUUGAGCACCUGUAGAUGUGGAGUCAGAAGACUCCUUGAGAUGGGCUGGCCCUUUCCUCCUGAGUUCUGAUCCUCUAUCAUCAUAUUGAUACAGCUUGGCUAGGGCUCUUUUGCCUGGCAGUCAAGCAGGGACUUCAGCACUGUGGCCCCAGGGCACAUACUUCACAGGGUGAGGGUCCAAGUACAUCUCUAGCCCUGGACCCAUGCCUCAAGCUGAGGUACUGGCAGCAAGCUCAGAAAACAUACUGAGAGGGCCCCUGACUCUCCUGGCCCAGGUCUGCCAGUUGAUGGCCAUCACGAAAAGCAAAACCUGGGAGAUGGUCUUUGGUUAGGAUUCGUGGGCAUUCUCUGGGCUUCUCCAGACUUGUGACAUGGGGACUGCCUGCCAUCGGGUCCCCAAGCUUUUCCUGAUGCCUCAGAAGAGAAAGUGGAAGAGGAGGGCGGGUGCGGGAAGAUACCUGAGGUUGGGCAGAAGGGCCCCUUCUACGUCCCAUCCACUGCCUCCAGCUACAGGUUAUGACUGUACGCUUUGGGUGGAAGUCUGGACUGGAAAGGCCCUGCCUCCCAGAGAGACUUCCCACGGCAGCACGGGAGGCAGAGCUGGGAUUGGACUCUGGGUCCCCAGCUCUUGUCUGAUGCUCUCGUUCAAGCUGUCAUCCAGCUGAGUUUGCCUUGCUGUCUCUUGGGUGGGUCACGUUCUACCAUCGAUGGGGACAGGGAACCAAGGAUGUUCUGGGGCAGGAGGAAGGGUGGUGGGGGCAGAGUGCCUGGGCCCACCCUCCCUUGCUCCCAGGCCUUCCUGUUAGUAGAAAGUUCUGGCCUGGGCUGGGUGGGGAGGGGGCCUGGGUAUGGUUUUCUCCUGCGCUGUGUUUGGAUCCUUUGUCUUCCAGGAUGGGCCUCUGGGGUCUGCGUAGGGUAGGAGCCUGGGCUGCCAGCAUUUUGGCUGGGUGCUGUCAGCACAAGUAUGGACCACGUGACUUCUCCAGGAUGAUGCUGAGGAACCAGAGGUCAAGACGAGGUGUGGUCCCGCCCUCUCAGAUCUUCAUGCUUCUUGGCCCCGCAGCAUCUCCAGGACACCCAGUCUGGUCUUCUGGAGAGCCUGGGUGACCCUGGGCACAGUGACACAGGGAGCAGCCGCCGGUGGUUUUCUGGAUAAGACCUCACCUUUCCUGACUCCUGGGAUGGAGAAUCUCCUGGACAAAGGCCCCUCCUGGUUGGUGCCCAGCCAAAGACAGGACCCAGCUCUGGAGGACAGCUCAAGGGGUGGGAGGAGGGCUGGCAGCUGGCCGCCCCCUCUGCUUCUCUCUGGCCCCAUCUGCCAGGCCCUCCUCCCCAGGCCUGGAGGCCCCUCCUGACCCCCCGUGGACUUGGUUUCUCCUUGCAGCCCUGCCAGCCAUCAGGCAGAGCUCCGCCUGGGCCAGGACAGGGGCAGGAACGUGGGAUGGGAGUCGGGUAGGAGCUGCAAGUGGGAGGCAGGUCGAUGCAGCCCUGGGGUGCCGUUGGCUGGAGUCUGUCUUGCGCUGUGUGAGUGAUUCUCAUUUUUGUGGGGGAUUCUUGGAUGGGGCCUUUUGGUGCUUCUUUUCUACCUGACAGUCAAAGGGAGAAGGCAGGAUGGGCCUGGGGGUGGGGGGUGGCUGGACCUCUUGCUGGGGUGUGGAGCUCUGGGAGGGGCAGUGAUCCUGAAAGGAGAGCAGUUCUGAGAGAUGAGAGACCCUGCCUGGGGGAGGGUCUUGCAGAAGGAGCCAGACACUGGGCCUUGGUCCUGCCAUCCAAAGGGAAUGUUCUGGAAUUGGCCUCACCUCAAGGCUUGAGAGGUCACCCCAGCUCCAUCUCAGACCCCUGCUCCUUGUCACAAUCCUGUCCUUGGGGAGCAGAGACAGUUAGGGCGGGCUCCACACGCAGGCAGCUUCCCCUGUCACAGAGCUACACCCUCGCUUCCGUGCCCCAUCCCCAUUCUCGCCUCUUCCAGCCCCUCAAGGGUGGCCCGUCCCAGGACUUGCAGGACAACAGGCUUCCUCAGGCAAACUUAAGAGCCUGAUGUCCUUUUCCCAGGGUGGUGAGGGACCUGUAUUAGUCUGCCUGGGCUGCUGUAACAGAAUACUGUGAUUCAGUGGCUAGAACAGCAGAAAUGUAUUUUCUCAGGUUCUAGAGGCUGCAAGUCCCAGAUCAGGGUGCUAGAGAUGGUUUGUCCUGAGGCCUCUCUCCUUGGCUUGCAGAUAGAAACUUCUUGCUCUGUUCGCACAUGGCCUUUUCUCUGUGCAUACACAGGGUGAGAAGGCGAGAGAGAAAGAGAGGGAGAGAGAGAGAGAAAGAGAGGGAGAAAGCAAGGGUGAAGGAGAAAGCGAGGGUAAGAGAGAAAGGGAGAGAGAGAGAAAUAAGGGAGGGAGGAGGAGAAAUAGAUGACUGAAGUCUCUUCCAUUUCCUAUAAGGGCACCAGUCCUGUGGGGUUAGGGCCUCAUUCUUAUGACCUCAUUUAGCUGUAAUGACCUAUGUUAAAGCCUAUCUCCAAAUACAGUCACCUUAGGGGUUACAGCUUCAGCCUAUGAAUUUGAAGCCCGGUGGGGGGACACAGUUCAGCCCAUUGCAGGUGGUCAGAGCAGACAUGGAAAGCUGAAAGGCUCCCCUUCAGAACUCCCGCCCCCUAAUAGGGAGGGGAAGGAGGGGCAGAGGCAGGGGAAGGGCUCUGCUAGGCUGGCCCAGGAGUCUUGGGGAGACAGCAAAUGAACGGGCCCUCGCCCAGAGCAGCGAGGAGGAGCCCCAGGAGAGGGAUGCCUUGGGGAAGGGCAUGGGCUUUGGAGCCCGAGGGUGCGCCCUCUGCUGCACAGCCUUAGGCAAGUCGCCUCACCCCUGGGAGUCCGAUGUUCACUCUGAAACAGGAUUGCUCCCCUGGGGGGCACAGGGAGAAGUCAGUGAAAUCAUGCGCCUGGCUCUUAGUAGGUUUCAGUAAACACUCCCAUCUGUCGGGGAGUUCAGAUGUGGGCUUACCUCUUUUUGGUACUCUGGACUGUAAACUCAGCAUCUUCGGCCCAGAGGCGUUCCUAGCCUGUUUUUCCAUUUGUGUGUUCUUAAUAUUCCUCUCUAAGCAGAUCGAGCAAUCAGCUGCAUUGGCCUGGCCUCCACAGUAACUCCCAAUGCCUCCUUUAAUAUCUACUCCUCUCAUUGGAAGUAAGCGCCUGCUCUGAGCCCUUCCCCGAGCUGCUUACUUGAGGGGAAUGUAAAUGAAGACGUGCUUAUGACUCCAGCCUUCAGGGUUUCACAGCCAUUGGAAGAUGGGGCAGAAAGCAGUCUACUGAGGCACAGGUUCCCAGCGCUUGGGUGGGUGGGAGCAAGACCUCAGGGUAGGCUGGAAGGGCUUCCCAGCAAGGCUGAAUCAGUCAGGACCUUGGAGGAUGAGAAGGAUGUGGCUUAGUUGAGUUUCUAGGGGGACAGAGCACAGACUCCCAAAGUAGGUUCUAGGAGAUGUUAUUGCUCUUUUAAAAAAAUAAAAGUUCAAAUUCAGUAGGUUUCUAUAGUGCAGGACUUAUCAGAGCCUUUAAAAAUGCUGCUAGGAAUUGUGAAUACUCCAGGACAGAGGAUUAAGUGUUUUUCCCCAAACUUUGCUGGCAACAGAACCCUCUCCUUAUGGAGCAUCAUUUAGAACUCUGGAGAGUCUAGGCUAGGGUUUCUGGGGGAAAACUGCAAUUGUGAUAGGAGGUGACAAAACUAGGGCAUACUCAGGUGCUUUGUAGCAUCGGCUGGAAAGGCACUACUUUCCCUGGGAUUGGGGAAUCUGAAUCUGGUUCCAGGGGUCAGGCAAGCUCUGCGCUGUCUUGGGGUGAGGGGAGGCCAGUAGUUGGAGGAGUCAGAGGCCAGGCAGUCUGGGACAGAGGAGCUGUCCACUGGGCAUGGUGGCUCUGGGGCAUCAGAUCCUUCGUGGGAAGAUGCCAGUGUGUGCGUGUGCGUGUGCGUGUGUGUGUGUGUGGCUGAGUGUGACAGAAUCUAGCCUUCCGGGAAUGGGUUGGCCAGAACCAGGCAGGGGGGUUCCCGCCAGAACAAGCAGGGUCCAUUUUCAGGGGAACUGAAGUGUCUGGGGGAGGCUCACAGCAGAGAAGUAGGGAAGCACAACUUCUUUGUAGGGUCUGCGUGGAUAGUCUUGAUUCUGGUGGGGCUGAGGGGCUUGGAGGCAGACCCCCUGCCCUGGUCAGGCCCAGCUCCCUGGCUGAUUGGGGGGCGGGAGGCCUCUGGCGCUGCAGCCGGGCAGUGUUGCAUGGUGUGAUUAACCUACUAACCCAGGGCUCGGCCGGGACGCUGUGGCGUGUGAUGAGGUGCCUGGCCUUCUGCCAACCGACUAACCCACUAACCAGGCCCGAGCAUGCCCUACUAACCCCCCGCAGCCAGACCAUACUAACCUUGCAGCUCGUGGGCCUUCUCAGGGGCUGGGAUGUGGGGGCAGACGAGGCUUCGGAAGGCCCUGCCCUUGGCCUGGGAUCUCUGUGCAGACCCGCAUUCCAGGAUGGGGCGUGCGAGUAGGACUUGCCCACUCUGCCACUUCCUGCUGGGUGACUGUGAGCAAGUCACCUCCCCUCUCUGAACCCCAGUUUCCUCAACAGUAGGAUGGAAGGCCUACUCCCCACCUCACAGGUGGCAGUAAGAAUUCCCAGGACUAUAAAGCUCUUGACACCUGGCAGAUACUUAAUAUAGAUGCAUAUGUAUCAGAGGGUGGGGUGGGAGGGACAGAAAACCUGACCCAUCAUGUGCCCUGGUGGGCCCUGGUCCCUCUGGGUGGUCUGCACACCGACCCCUCUGCCUGGGGCCAGACACUUGCUUUGAACCCCUAACCGUCUCUUCCCCACACUCUUUCUCCUCGUCUUCAGCUUUCUUCCCAUAGGCAGCUCUUAUGUUCACUUACUAACCUGUCUAACCCCAGGGGGCCCUCAACUGCACCCCGAUCACCCCUUAACCAACUAACGGACCCGCGUGUGUUCUUCCUUUUCUCCUAGUGACUCCGUGUGUGUCUGCUGAGGUGCCCCCGUCCGCUGGUGCUGUGCUCUGACUUACUAACCCAGCCCCUACUAACCCUGUUUUCUCUUCUUACUAACCCCAGCCCUGCCGAGCUCUGGGCCUCCCUGGGGGCUGGUCCCCCCUCCUUUUGGCAAGCAGAUGUCCAGGGGCUGGCCCUGUAGACAGGUACCCCACUUUGCUGCCCCCAUUGGCUGUGAGUUCAGCAUCCACCGGGCCAGCUCUGAGGCAGGGGAUGGCCCUAGCUAUCACACCAGCGGUCCAGUGGAAGAGGUGGUCCUGCCGGUGUGGGAGGGAGGCCGGUCUCCGAGCAGAGCAUCUCUCUGCUGCUCAAAAGUCUGGUUGCCAGCGGGAGUGGGCGGGAGCAGGGAAGCCUCUGGGGCCUGCAGGUCUAGCUUGUGGCACACUGGGCUUUUCCCAGCCAAGGGAGCAGAGAGAAGGCGCCUGUGUGUCCUUCUUUGGAGAGAAGCGAGGGUAGAAUUUUCUCCAUUGGAAAGUGGCCUGUAGAGGUGCCCUGCAAUCAAUGGAGGUCACGUCCCACAUGGGCAUCAGAAAGGGGGCGUGUCCAAAGUCAUUCAGGGGAGACUUCCCCAUGUUGGAAGGCCCUGUAAAGGUCUUAGCCACAUAGGGAAUCACUGAGUGGAGCAUUUAGUACAGGAGAUCAGCCAGAGGGGGCAUUUCCCAUAUAUGAAGGAUGGGAAGAGGGGCAUUUCUUACACCAGAGGCCAGUGAGAGGAGAAUUUCUGCCUUAUCACAAGGCACUGAGAAGGAAUGGCCAAAAGAUCUUUCCCAUCCCUGGAGCCAGGAGAUCCGGGUUUCCCACCAUCUACCAGAAGUAGAUGCGGGCCAUUUUUCCCACCAGAAGUCAUUGAGAAGAAUGGUCCACACCAGGACAUUUGAGAAGGCUGGAAAGAAACCAGAUCUUGAGUUCAGGGUUUGCAGGAGGAGGAAGUGGGAAGAAACAAAUGAACCCCAGGGGUCCACAGGGUCCUGCGGCCCCUCAGACCAGCCAGAUAGUCAUCCCUGGCUCCCUGUCCUGUUCACACCCCUGUCCUUACCCCAGCCUGCCAUCCCCAGAGCCCGCCAGCUGCUAAGCCAGGGCCACACCUGGGGGUGAUUUUAUGCCUCACCUCCAGUAGGCACCUCGGUUUCUUUGGGCUAAUCUUUGGCUCCUUUGCACUAACUCUUGCUCUCACCCAGCUAAUCCCUGCCUCGCCCUGGCUGCCCCUGGGGGCUGACCUCUAACAGCCAGCCCUGCCCAGGUGGGGGCUCCAGGCUCCCGGCCUGGCUCUGAUCUGCUCUUAAUUAACCUCUCCUUCACCCGACUAACUCCUGCCCUACUGAUCUGUUCCUUUCAGCAGAAACUAACGGCUUGUGGAUUUCUUUCUGACUAACAACAGGUCUAACACUCCUGGUUACUAUUAACAGCUUGGAUGUCGGCAUGGCUGGGACGGGGCUAACACACAGAGAGCUGGAGCUAGUCGUGUUGGAUGUGGUGACUGCUCUGGGAAGAGCUAUCUGAGUCAGGAAAGAUCUCAGUAUUCAAAAGGAGGUACCAGGGCUGGGAUAUGGCUCAGGCCUAAUGGAGGAGCGGUGUCUACUGAGGUGGGUCAGAAGUGUUGUCAGCCUUCCAAAGUUUUGGCCACUGGACAUAUCCUAUUGACCCCAUAUAAUCUACAUUUGAGUUAUGGGUCUUUGAAACAAUAGCUUGAGAGUUUCAAUGGUCCAUACGAGUGGAUGCAGCUUUUAUAGUCCUAAGAGUGCCUAUGUGGUAUGUACAGAGGAUGUGCCAUUGUGUAUGGAAUUGUCAGUCACCAGGCCAGGACCUAGAGUCCUUGAUUUGGGGACUUUGGAGUUUUGGAAGCCCUAGGGCAUAAAACUUUAGAUUGGAAUUGUUAGGAGGGUUAUAAAUCCAACACCCAUUGACACUUUAGUUCUAAAUAGUUCAGCUUUCUCUUCUAACUUCUGUUCAAUUUAGCUGCCCUGAGGUCAUGAGAAUUUGGCUGGAAGAAAGUUUGGUUGUCUUUGGGGCUGAGAGAGGAGAGAGAAGCCACAGGGUCAGGGUUCCUGGCGGGGGGUGGGAAACCAGGCUUCAGGUCGUCGAAGGCUUGGGAAGAGGGGCCGGUUUUGCUGGCUCAGUCUGGUGGUCAGGCAAGGACACUCACGGCAAGGACUAGAGAAUUGGAAGCUCAGGGAUGGGCUCAGAGGCCUGCCCCAAGGCCUUGCAGGAAGGUUGCUUGGGUCACUGAAUACUACUCUGGGGGUGAGAGCCUCUCUGACAGCCAAGGACUCAGAGCUAAUCUAGUGGCGCUAGCAGUGAGGCCUGAAGGGCGACCCAGAGGACUGAAAUGCAGAGAGAAGAAGCGCGGGGGAGGCGGGGGGAAUGCAUUAGGAAGCGGCUUCUGACAGUGGCUCAGCUGCUGGCGGGGCCCCGGGAAGGGGUGGAGCCUGAGCUGGGGAGGCGCGUGUCUGCUGCCCUCUAGUGGCCGCUUUUCCCCAUGUCACUGGAAGCCUUUCCCAUUUCAGGGAACUCUUUAUUCAACUACAAAGAUGCUGCUGCUGAGGACCUACUAUGUGCCCAGCACUGCUCUGGGGCUGGGACCCACACACACGGGCUUUCCCAUCACAGUGCUUCUCUAGCUCAGUGGGGGAGGUGGAGAAAUACAGGUGACGCAGUGGGAUGGGUGCCAUGACAGGGAUGGUGGGGGCGGUGGAAACAUACCCCCCCCCCCAGCCAGAUGAGGAUGAUAGGCACCCUCUGCAUGCAGGGCGCAGUACUAGGCACUGGGGAUGAGUGGUGAUUAAACAUCAUUAUCACCUUCAGGAACUUUAAUGCCAGUGUGUGGAGUGGGUGUGGGGUAGAGUGGGGUGUGGACAGGCAGGGUAGAUCUUCUGAAAAGGAAGACAUCUAAGCCAAGCCCUGGCUGGCUGGGCAGAGUCCAGUGGGGAUGAGUUCCGGGCAGAGGGAAUGGUGGGCACAAAGUUCCAGGGGUCAGAGAGAAUCGAAGGAGUUCUGGGAGGAUGGGGCGGGGAGGGGAGUGGAGCAGAAGACGACAGAAAAUGGACAAGUACCAGAUUAUGUCGCCAGGGAAUUUAUCCUAAGGGCAGUGGCAGGCCAUGGAUGUGAUCUGGGGGGCGGGGGGGAGAUGGCAGAGGUGAGACUUAGGCUGACAGUUUGGCUAUUUCAGCCCAGGUGGAGUUCUGAGGAACUUACAGUGAAUUUUGGCCACAUUUUAGAAAACUGGUUAGAACUUUUUUUUUUUUUUUUCCAUUUUUCUUUGGUUAGAAUUUCUUGAAAGGAGGACUCUCAGGUCCACCUUAAGAUAAAUGGGAUCUAUGAGCACUCGCCCCAGGUGGAGGUAGUCUUGCACUGACUGUUCCUGGAAGUGUGCAGGAGGGCCUCCUCAACUUUGGGACAGGGAGUGCAUUGGCCCUGUGUGGCUGUGAGGGGGGACAUGCAGGCCUGGAGUUUCCUUCUGAAAGGCUGGUCUCAGGGAGGGAGAAAUGUGUCUCAGUGGGUAACAAACCUUCUGGAGGCAGAAGGAAUGGGCUGGGCUACUUUUGAGAUGAGACGGACGAUGGUGGGGGGAGGGUUUUAGGAUUCUGACUGAGUGUGCAAGUGUGUGUGUGUGUGUCUUUGACUUAAUACCAGAGGAAGCCGACUCUGUUCUCCACCUCUCACCCCGGCCUGCUGGUGCUCACUCUGGCCCCACAGAACCUGAAGCUUGUUAGGAGCAGGACCUCCCGAGCUGGCUUCUCAGUCCCAAGAGGUGGCUUAAUCCUUUAGUAGGUGGCGUGAAGGGAGGCAGCCACAGUGGUCCCUGCCUGGGGCUGUGCUGGUAUAUGGAGCUGGAGGGCUGGUUCCAUUCCAACAAAAGACCCCAGGAGCCCUUUUGAGAGUCCAUCUGGGGUCCCACUGUUUUCCUUCACUAGACCAGAGAAGACACUUUCCAUGUCACUGCCUCCUGGGAUGCUAGGUGUGGGGACAGAAGUUCCACUGAUUAAAAAGAACAUUUUUACAUGGAUCCAGCAAUGGUGUGUGAACCUACCCUUUUGUUUUCAGCCAUGAAUGUAGCUUCUUUUGUUUAAAAUUUUAAGAUUAAUAAACCAAUUCACAUCCAAAGGAUGGCUGUGGCUUAGGAGGCAGAGGGAUGUGCGAUUUGGGGGGUGGAGACCCAGUGGCAUUUUCAAGGAACAGGGGUGGGCUCUGCCAGCCUUUUCUCAAGACCAUGGUGUUAAUAGUCAAUGCAAUAGGUUAUUUAUUUUCAUUUGCUAUUGUGCGAAAACACACAGAACCAAACUGACCAUCUUAACCAUUUUAAAGUAUAUAAUUCAGUGGUAUGAAGUAAGUUCACAUCGUUGUGCAACUAUCACCACUCUUGCUAAUUUUUUUUUUUUUUUUUUUUUGCUUUUUAGAGCUGCACCCAUGGCAUAUGGAGGUUUCCAGGCUAGGGGUCCAAUCAGAGCUGUAGCCACCGGCCUAUACCACAGCCACCACAACACGGGAUCGGAGACGUGUCUGUGACCUACAUUACAGCUCACGGCAAUAACAGAUCCUUAACCCACUGAGCAAGGCCAGGGAUCAAACCUGCAUCCUUCUGGAUACUAGUUGGGUUUGUUAACCACUGAGCCAUGAUGGGAACUCUUUUUUUUUUUUUUUUUUUCCCAAUAGCACUACUUUGUGCCUAGGACACUGUGGCAGAGAAAAGCCAUGUCUCUUCUCAGCUUCUCUCUCCUGCCUCCUUCCUUCUCUUCCUCCAUCCACGUAGAAAUGGUUUACCCAGCAUUGCCCUCCUCUCUGGGACCUGCCUUUCUGUUCCCCUAAUGCAGCCAUCUCAUUCUCUCCUAAGGACCUUUGCACUGGCUGUUCCCUUUGCCUGGAACAUAUGUCGCUAGGCUUUUUGCGUGGCUGACUUUUCUGUGACCCUCAGCUCUCAGCUGAAUGCCACCUCCUCAGAGAUGUCUCCCCUGAUCACCAUUAAAGUGUUUGUCGCUUUAAUUCUCAAACAUUUUGGUCCUGGACCCCUUUAUACUCUUACCAUGUAAUAAACAAUCAUCCCUGAGUCCGCCUGGGCACUGCCCGCUUGCAAGGUUCAACUGACUCCCCAUUUCAUUCACCAAAAUCUCCUAUCCCUGUACUCUGCAUGAAGCAUUGUGUUGGGGGCCCAAGGCACAGCCAGAAGCUGCUUUUGUGAGGCUCACAGUCCAGGGCAGGUAGCUGUACUAAGCUAAGGACAGGGACCUCACAGGGAGAAAAACUAAGAGGGAGGAAUCAGCACAGAGUGAGUCUCCCUUGUUAGACAUUAGAACUGAGAUGUUUUAGAAAGAUGCGUUUAUCAAUUCAUUACCAUAUUAGAAAUGAAAACUGAAGCUUUUAAAAAGACUUGUAUUAUUCAUUCAUUGAAAAAAAUGACAAUAUUGCAUGCCAACAUAAAUAAUUAUUUAUGAAAAGUAAUAGUUUCCAAAACAAAUUUAGUGAGAAAACUGCAUAUGAUUUUUUUUGGGGGGGUGAAUUUCUUUAAUGUCUGGCUUAAUAGACAACAGAGUCUGUUGGAUUCCAGUAUCUACUUCUGCAUUCAGUCUCUUGCGAUAUCUCGUCUCUGUCAUCUCUGAAAAACUCUGUGUGCUUGCUAGGGGAUGAGCUGAAACCUACAAGUUAAUUUCCCUCUAGGUCCCCAGAUCUCAGGAAUGUACCAUGAGAACUGCUGCUCUAUUCCCCAAACCAGAGUAUUUUUUGAUUAAAAGUUGUGCCCAUCUGAAA
This is an RNA transcript of Sus scrofa (pig), 13057 nucleotides long. RefSeq lists it as uncharacterized. The record is from RefSeq and is a predicted model, not a curated record. NCBI's taxonomy places the organism in Eukaryota, Metazoa, Chordata, Mammalia, Artiodactyla, Suidae.